GGAGUUUGGGCCGUGUCUCAGUCCCAAUGUGGCCGUUCACCCUCUCAGGCCGGCUACUGAUCGUCGCCUUGGUGGGCCGUUACCUCACCAACAAGCUAAUCAGACGCGGGUCCAUCAUGUACCACCGGAGUUUUUCACACUGUACCAUGCGGUACUGUGCGCUUAUGCGGUAUUAGCACCUAUUUCUAAGUGUUAUCCCCCUGUACAUGGCAGGUUACCCACGCGUUACUCACCCGUCCGCCACUAGGUAUCAACAAGAACUUACUCUUAGCAAGCUAAUCGCUCGUUCAGCGUCAAUACCCCGUUCGACUUGCAUGUGUUAAGCACGCCGCCAGCGUUCAUC
This 343-nucleotide ribosomal RNA is filed under the name uncultured Lachnospiraceae bacterium. Its description in RNAcentral is "partial 16S ribosomal RNA". Lineage: Bacteria; Bacillati; Bacillota; Clostridia; Lachnospirales; Lachnospiraceae. The record is from RNAcentral.